This 113-nucleotide transfer RNA is filed under the name Candidatus Fermentithermobacillaceae bacterium. RNAcentral's name for it is "tRNA-Ser". The record is from RNAcentral. Lineage: Bacteria; Bacillati; Bacillota; Candidatus Fermentithermobacillia; Candidatus Fermentithermobacillales; Candidatus Fermentithermobacillaceae.
GGAUGCGGAGAGGUCGCCUAGAGGCCGAGGGCGACGGUUUGCUAAACCGUUAAGGGGGCAACUCCUUCGAGCAAACCGUCGCCCUCGGCCUCUAGGCGACCUCUCCGCAUCCA